CCCUUAGAUGUUCUGGGCCGCACGCGUGCUACACUGAUGCAUUCAACGAGUCUAAAACCUGGUCUGAUAGGGCUGGGUAAUCUUUUGAAAGUGCAUCGUGAUUGGGAUAGAUGAUUGCAAUUCUUCAUCUUCAACGAGGAAUGCCUAGUAAACGCAAGUCAUCAGCUUGCAUUGAUUACGUCCCUGCCCUUUGUACACACCGCCCGUCGCUCCUACCGAUUGAAUGAUCCGAUGAAUACCAUGGAUUGAGAGUACGAAUAGGUUCGCUUAUUUCUGCUGCUCGAGAAGUGGAGUAAAUCUUAUCAUUUAGAGGAAGGUGAAGUCGUAACA
Molecule: ribosomal RNA, 330 nt
Filed under: uncultured eukaryote
Lineage: Eukaryota
Description: partial 18S ribosomal RNA
Rfam family: Eukaryotic small subunit ribosomal RNA
Source: RNAcentral